RNAcentral lists this ribosomal RNA (407 nucleotides) under uncultured eukaryote. RNAcentral describes it as "SSU rRNA". It matches the Rfam family "Eukaryotic small subunit ribosomal RNA", at positions 567 to 990 of the family's 1831-position model. The record is from RNAcentral.
CCAGCAGCCGCGGUAAUUCCAGCUCCAAUAGCGUAUAUUAAAGUUGUUGCAGUUAAAAAGCUCGUAGUUGAAGUUCUGGCUGUUCAGGUCCUCAGCCAUUUAGGCGGGGAUUCUGACAGUCAUCCGCUUGCAAGCAUAUGUUCGGCCUUAAACAGCUGGCUAUGUGAGUAAGCAAUUUACCUUGAGAAAAACAGAGUGUUCCAGGCAGGUUUGUCCGGGAUGCGUUAGCAUGGAAUAAUAGAACAUGACUGAAGUCUAUUUAUUGGUUUAAGGCUUUAGUAAUGAUUAAUAGGAACAGUCGGGGGCAUUCGUACUCAGCAGUCAGAGGUGAAAUUCUAAGAUUUGCUGAAGACGAACUAAUGCGAAAGCAUUUGCCAAGGAUGUUUUCAUUAAUCAAGAACGAAAGU